CAGCCAGCAAGUGGGACCUGCAGACAGGCUGUGAAUCACAAGCAAGACAAGAGAUGCUGACAGUGCCCAGCAGCACACCUCAAGCUCGCCUGCAUGUGGAGUGCCAGAUCCCAAGUGCUGCGGAGCCGUUGUGACAUUUAAUAAAAAUAAUUCAAGAAAAUUUAGAGACAUGAAAACAGGUUAUAAAGGACCACAGCAUUCAGCAAGAGCAGACUGUAGGGAAUAUCUACAAGCCUGAGAAACUACAGAUUAAAGAAGACAUAAGGGAUACACUGGUCAGCCAGGCUGGAAAGACCAUGUGGUUUCUGACUGUAACAAGCAAAAGGAAGAAGGGAAGGUCUAUGAGGACUU
This is a long non-coding RNA of Grammomys surdaster, 351 nucleotides long. RefSeq lists it as uncharacterized. The transcript is spliced from 3 exons. NCBI's taxonomy places the organism in Eukaryota, Metazoa, Chordata, Mammalia, Rodentia, Muridae. The record is from RefSeq and is a predicted model, not a curated record.